GAAGUCGGCCAGACCGCCGCUGGCGCAACCACCCGAAAGGGCGCGCUGGAGGAAGGUCCGGACUGCACAGGGCAGCGUAGCAGCCAACGGCUGUCCACCGCGAGGUGAGGAUCAGAGCAACAGAGACGAGUCGAGCCGGGGCGAAGCCCCGGCUCGGGUGAAACGGGCAAUCUCUACGCGCAGCAACACCAAAUAGGCACACGACGAUCCGGCCCGGGGAGUGUGCGGGUAGGUGGCACCGAGCCGGGUGGGCGACCCCCGGCCCAGAGGAAUGGCGGUCACGGCGGCGUCUCGCAAGAGGUGUCCGCUGCACAGAAUCCGGCCUAUCGGCCGACUUCACAC
RNAcentral lists this RNase P RNA (342 nucleotides) under Rubrivivax albus. Its description in RNAcentral is "Bacterial RNase P class A". It matches the Rfam family "Bacterial RNase P class A". Rfam says of the family: Ribonuclease P (RNase P) is a ubiquitous endoribonuclease, found in archaea, bacteria and eukarya as well as chloroplasts and mitochondria. The record is from Rfam by way of RNAcentral. Lineage: Bacteria; Pseudomonadati; Pseudomonadota; Betaproteobacteria; Burkholderiales; Sphaerotilaceae.